This 253-nucleotide ribosomal RNA is filed under the name uncultured bacterium. RNAcentral's name for it is "partial 16S ribosomal RNA". It matches the Rfam family "Bacterial small subunit ribosomal RNA", at positions 524 to 776 of the family's 1533-position model. The record is from RNAcentral.
CACGUAGGGUGCGAGCGUUGUCCGGAAUUAUUGGGCGUAAAGAGCUCGUAGGCGGUGUGUCGCGUCGGCCGUGAAAACCUGCAGCUUAACUGUGGGCGUGCGGUCGAUACGGGCAGACUAGAGGUAGGCAGGGGAGAGCGGAACUCCUGGUGUAGCGGUGGAAUGCGUUGAUAUCAGGAGGAACACCCAUGGCGAAGGCAGCAUACUGGCCGGCAUCUGACGCUGAGGCGCGAAAGCGUGGGUAGCAAACAGG